This 212-nucleotide long non-coding RNA is filed under the name Hordeum vulgare. RNAcentral describes it as "long non-coding RNA (HVUL_LNC014982)". Lineage: Eukaryota; Viridiplantae; Streptophyta; Magnoliopsida; Poales; Poaceae. The record is from RNAcentral.
UCCUUCUCCUUCUUCUUCUUCUUCUUCUUCUUCUUGAUUUCUUCUUCUUCUCCUCCUCCUCCUCUUUAUUCUCCUAUUUCGUAUUCUCCUUACCUUAUUUUCCCCAACAAUGACAUAAUUAGCCCAUUUAGCUCCAAAAUGACAUAACAAGCUCAAAAUGGCAUAAAAACCUUGGUUAACUCAUCAAUAUUAUAUUCUUAGCUUGUUUUCCU